UAGGGAAUCUUCCGCAAUGGGCGAAAGCCUGACGGAGCAACGCCGCGUGAGUGAUGAAGGUCUUCGGAUCGUAAAACUCUGUUAUUAGGGAAGAACAAAUGUGUAAGUAACUAUGCACGUCUUGACGGUACCUAAUCAGAAAGCCACGGCUAACUACGUGCCAGCAGCCGCGGUAAUACGUAGGUGGCAAGCGUUAUCCGGAAUUAUUGGGCGUAAAGCGCGCGUAGGCGGUUUUUUAAGUCUGAUGUGAAAGCCCACGGCUCAACCGUGGAGGGUCAUUGGAAACUGGAAAACUUGAGUGCAGAAGAGGAAAGUGGAAUUCCAUGUGUAGCGGUGAAAUGCGCAGAGAUAUGGAGGAACACCAGUGGCGAAGGCGACUUUCUGGUCUGUAACUGACGCUGAUGUGCGAAAGCGUGGGGAUCAAGCAGG
This 429-nucleotide ribosomal RNA is filed under the name Actinomycetes bacterium. Its description in RNAcentral is "Actinobacteria bacterium partial 16S ribosomal RNA". It matches the Rfam family "Bacterial small subunit ribosomal RNA", at positions 355 to 776 of the family's 1533-position model. The record is from RNAcentral. Lineage: Bacteria; Bacillati; Actinomycetota; Actinomycetes.